UUAGGCCUCAAACCCCUUUUUUCAAUAAAUUUACUCUGACUUACCAUUUAAAAAAUAAGAAAAAUCCAUUCUAACAGCUACAAUUGAUUUGCUGAAGUGCUGCAAUAACAAGCUAUCCUAUCCUAUUUCUUAACCCUCGUAUGAUCAAUUGACAAAACGACCAGGUUCAAUGAACCACCACGCUACUAUUCCUACAGUCCUACUCCCCCAAGCAUGAGCGACGCCCCCUCCAAUUUAGUCAAUGACAUUGCUCCUUAAAAGUUAAAACCCUCCUUCUGCCUUAAAACCACUGCUGCAACCACCACUACCACCACCGAUCAUUAUGGCGUUCUCUGAGUUUAGGCCACUUGAUGAGAAAUCUUUGAUAGAGUACAUCAAGGCCACGCCUGUUUUAUACAACAAGCUUGGCAAUAAUUUCGAUGACUUGAAAAUCAAAGAAGUUGGAGAUGGGAAUCUCAAUUUCGUCUUCAUUGUUGUUGGCUCCGCUGGCUCUUUUGUCAUCAAGCAGGCCCUUCCUUACAUACGUUGUAUUGGAGAAUCAUGGCCCAUGACUAAGGAAAGAGCCUAUUUUGAGGCUGUGGCACUUAAAGCGCAUGGUCAGUUGUGCCCUGAACAUGUUCCUGAAGUUUAUCAUUUUGACCGAACUAUGUCUUUGAUUGGCAUGCGAUACCUGGAGCCUCCACAUAUUAUCCUAAGAAAAGGAUUAAUUGCUGGAAUUCAGUAUCCUCAUCUAGCAGAACAUAUUUCAGAUUACAUGUCAAAGACCCUUUUUUACACAUCCCUUUUGUAUCGUACCACCACUGAGCACAAACGUGAUGUUGCUGAGUUCUGUGGGAAUGUGGAGUUAUGCAGGCUUACAGAGCAAGUUGUUUUUUCUGACCCGUACAAAGUAUCUCAAUAUAACCACUGGACUUCCCCUUACCUUGAUCAAGAUGCUGAGGCUGUCCGUGAGGAUAAUGUUUUAAAGCUCGAAAUUGCUGAAUUAAAAUCAAAGUUCUGUGAAAGAGCCCAAGCCUUAAUACAUGGAGAUCUCCACACUAGUUCUGUCAUGGUUACUCCUUAUUCAACACAGGUUAUAGAUUCAGAAUUUGCAUUUUAUGGACCAAUGGGUUUCGAUGUGGGAGCUUUCAUUGGAAACUUGUUUUUGGCGUACUUUGCUCAAGAUGGCCAUGCUGAUUUAGUAGAUGACCGAAAAUCAUUUAAAGAAUGGGUUUUGAGGACGACUGAAGACACAUGGAAUCUUUUUCACAAAAAAUUCACAGCACUUUGGGACAAGCACAAGGAUGGACAUGGUGAGGCAUAUCUUCCAGCAAUUUAUAAUAACCCUGAGCUUCAGCAGCUUAUACAGGAAAAAUACAUGAAAGAUUUGUUCCAUGACACCCUUGGAUUUGGUGCAGCUAAAAUGAUAAGGAGAAUUGUCGGUGUUGCCCAUGUUGAGGAUUUUGAAUCAAUAAAAGAUGCUAGCAAACGAGCUGAAUGUGAGCGGCAGGCCCUCGAGUUUGCAAAACUACUCCUCAAAGAAAGGCGGCGAUUCCAGUCCAUCAAUGAAGUUGUGUCAGCUAUUCGGGCAUAAGUUCAUGACAAACUUUUGGGUAAAAUAUUAUGCACUGUUACUGAUUUUGGUUCCGAAUACAGCUUUUCCAGUCCAUGUUCCGCACUUCUCUUCAGGAGCAAAUUACUUGAAUUAACUUCAAUAUAUAUUUUCAGCAUUUCUAAGAAAUAAACCUUAGUAAUCUUUCCAUCAGCGAUGAGUAUGCAUCUGGCUUUGUUCUAUGUUUAUUCCUACUGUGAUACUGUAAACAAUAAUUUGCCAAGAUGAUUAGUCUAACUUGCUGUCAAUCCAUUCAUUGUAUAUUUUAUUUUGACUAAAAAAUAUUAAAUUAUAUGCUAGACAUUAUCAAACAACACCAAAAUAAUAAACAAAAGCAUGAAAAAUAGAAUUACAACCCUAAACCUGACAUUAAACAAUUUUGACUACAACUUUAUGUUACUGAAAUUGCUUAGAACAUAAUUCUCUACCAUAUGAUGUCAAUGUCAGUAAAAUUAUUUCUUAAAACAUAAUCUAGAAGCGGAAAGCAUUUUUCAUGGAAAUUAAGCUAGAGAAGGAAAAUAAUGUGCUCAUCAAUAUCAGUGAAAUUAGACCCGAGUCUUAGAAAAAAAAAAUCAUAUAAAAACAUAAUCCACCUUUAGCUCAUAAAUGCAGGUAUCGAGAAGGCGUAUGGCAUGAAACAUGUAUCACUGGAUAUAAAGAAGACUCUGAAGGAGAUUCUGAUCAGACUGAAGAUUCUGGAGGUUUUGAUUCCAAUGAAAAAUCUACUGUUCAAGCUUUACCACUUACAAAAUGAUUAAACCAAUAACUGUAAAAUUACCAGAUGGUAGUCAAAUUGUAGCUAAUUUUUCUGGCACAAUUCAUUUUUCUCCUUCUCUUGUUUUAACAGAUGUCCUUUAUAUUCCUGAGUUUAAAUUCAACCUUAUAUCUGUUACCAAACUCACUUCUACCUUACAUUGUUUUCUAACUUUUCAAUAUGAUAAGUGUCUCAUCCA
Molecule: unclassified non-coding RNA, 2544 nt
Filed under: Hevea brasiliensis (rubber tree)
Lineage: Eukaryota; Viridiplantae; Streptophyta; Magnoliopsida; Malpighiales; Euphorbiaceae
Source: RNAcentral